AGUGAACGCUGGCGGUAGGCCUAACACAUGCAAGUCGAACGGCAGCACAGUAAGAGCUUGCUCUUACGGGUGGCGAGUGGCGGACGGGUGAGUAAUACAUCGGAAUCUACUUUUUCGUGGGGGAUAACGUAGGGAAACUUACGCUAAUACCGCAUACGACCUACGGGUGAAAGCAGGGGAUCUUCGGACCUUGCGCGAUUGAAUGAGCCGAUGUCGGAUUAGCUAGUUUGCGGGGUAAAGGCCCACCAAGGCGACGAUCCGUAGCUGGUCUGAGAGGAUGAUCAGACACACUGGAACUGAGACACGGUCCAGACUCCUACGGGAGGCAGCAGUGGGGAAUAUUGGACAAUGGGAGCAAGCCUGAUCCAGACAUGCCGCGUGGAUGAAGAAGGCCUUCGGGUUGUAAAGCCCUUUUGUUGGGAAAGAAAAGCAGCAGGUUAAUACCCCGCUGUUCUGACGGUACCCAAAGAAUAAGCACCGGCUAACUUCGUG
This 492-nucleotide ribosomal RNA is filed under the name uncultured bacterium. RNAcentral describes it as "partial 16S ribosomal RNA". It matches the Rfam family "Bacterial small subunit ribosomal RNA", at positions 29 to 507 of the family's 1533-position model. The record is from RNAcentral.